Molecule: ribosomal RNA, 468 nt
Filed under: uncultured bacterium
Lineage: Bacteria
Description: partial 16S ribosomal RNA
Rfam family: Bacterial small subunit ribosomal RNA
Source: RNAcentral
GACGAACGCUGGCGGCGUGCUUAACACAUGCAAGUCGAACGGAAAGGCCCUGCUUUUGUGGGGUGCUCGAGUGGCGAACGGGUGAGUAACACGUGAGUAACCUGCCCUUGACUUUGGGAUAACUUCAGGAAACUGGGGCUAAUACCGGAUAGGAGCUCCUGCUGCAUGGUGGGGGUUGGAAAGUUUCGGCGGUUGGGGAUGGACUCGCGGCUUAUCAGCGUGUUGGUGGGGUAGUGGCUUACCAAGGCUUUGACGGGUAGCCGGCCUGAGAGGGUGACCGGCCACAUUGGGACUGAGAUACGGCCCAGACUCCUACGGGAGGCAGCAGUGGGGAAUAUUGCACAAUGGGCGGAAGCCUGAUGCAGCACCGCCGCGUGCGGGAUGACGGCCUUCGGGUUGUAAACCGCUUUCGCCUGUGACGAAGCGUGAGUGACGGUAAUGGGUAAAGAAGCACCGGCUAACUACGUG